Long non-coding RNA from Rattus rattus (black rat), 977 nucleotides. RefSeq lists it as uncharacterized. The record is from RefSeq and is a predicted model, not a curated record. The transcript has 3 exons. NCBI's taxonomy places the organism in Eukaryota, Metazoa, Chordata, Mammalia, Rodentia, Muridae.
CAGAGUGGGGGGGGCCUCCUACCUGCAGGCUGUCGGCGCAUGGCUGCGGCGGCGGUUCGUCCGGCUUGAGGAAGACCUGCUGGCCCCGCCUGAGGAAUUGGACAACAGCGAUGAGGAUGUGGUGCAACACCAGGACCAUGCUCGCAGCCGCCCGCCCGCCCCUCCAGCCCGGCCCGCUGCGCUCGGUCAGCGCGUCCGCAACAGCUUCGCUGGUCCGCCCGAGGGUCCGCCCUGGUCCCGCCCCGCCCCCGCCCCCGCCCCGCCCCAGGCCUCCAGGCCCCGCCUACGUCUCUGCUACCAGGGACAGCACUUCAACACCUUCCAAAGAUCGGACCCCACCCGAUCCCGGCCGGCUACCCACUGCCAGGCCUUCCCCCUCCCAAGUCUCCUGCAGCGGGUCGACUAUAAGGGUUCCCUCUCCUCGGUCGCAUCCCAGCCUUCACUGCCCUCCGCUUAUCCCAUCGUCACUCCUCCUAAGGGGUCGGGCCCCUCCCAGAGUCCCGCGCACUGUCGCACCACAUUCUCUCCCCAUCACUUGGACUUCAGUAGCCCGGCCAAAGCCCCGAGGCCGAGUACAGCGCAGUGCGGGGAGAGGGCACGCGACCACAGUCCGGGAGCCCCCACGUCCCUUCUCUCUUUCCAGUGCAGAGGGCAAAGGAAAGUGAGGGAGAAAUUUAGAGGUCGCUUCAAAAUGGGACGAGCCCUGAAGCGAUAGCAGAUCUGUGAAGGAGACACGUGCGCCCUGACACACACAGGCGCACCGAUCCCAAGUGUGGGGUGAGAGCAAUGGGUCCCUAAGGCUACCAGGUCCCCUUCCCAUUGGGCCUCAGUUGUCCCACAAGACUGCCAGAAGACUCAAACUUGGAGCCCUUUCCUGUGACUGCCUCAUUCUUGCCUCCUGGUCUGUCCUGGUGCCCCGCUAACCAUCCAGGAGCAACUUGGAGGCCAUCUGCUCCAGGAGCCUCUCUCUGGAUGCC